ACAUCAAGGCUAAAGGAAGAAGAGAGAGAGUACAGCCUUAGCUCAGAUCACAUAUAUAUGGCUAUCUUCUGCGAGUCUGAUCGAUACUCUGAAGGCUGUACCCUCUCUCUUCUUCUCUUAGCUUCUUGAUGC
Molecule: microRNA precursor, 132 nt
Filed under: Oryza punctata
Lineage: Eukaryota; Viridiplantae; Streptophyta; Magnoliopsida; Poales; Poaceae
Description: pre miRNA MIR529
Rfam family: MIR529 microRNA precursor family
Source: Rfam by way of RNAcentral